Molecule: ribosomal RNA, 732 nt
Filed under: uncultured bacterium
Lineage: Bacteria
Description: bacterial SSU rRNA
Rfam family: Bacterial small subunit ribosomal RNA
Source: RNAcentral
UUGCGAAAGUAAGACUAAUACCCAAUGACGUCUCUAGAAGACAUCUGAAGGAGAUUAAAGAUUUAUCGGUGAUGGAUGGGGAUGCGUCUGAUUAGCUUGUUGGCGGGGUAACGGCCCACCAAGGCGACGAUCAGUAGGGGUUCUGAGAGGAAGGUCCCCCACAUUGGAACUGAGACACGGUCCAAACUCCUACGGGAGGCAGCAGUGAGGAAUAUUGGUCAAUGGACGAGAGUCUGAACCAGCCAAGUAGCGCGCAGGAUGACGGCCCUAUGGGUUGUAAACUGCUUUUAUAAGGGAAUAAAGUGAGUCUCGUGAGACUUUUUGCAUGUACCUUAUGAAUAAGGACCGGCUAAUUCCGUGCCAGCAGCCGCGGUAAUACGGAAGGUCCGGGCGUUAUCCGGAUUUAUUGGGUUUAAAGGGAGCGUAGGCCGGAGAUUAAGCGUGUUGUGAAAUGUAGACGCUCAACGUCUGCACUGCAGCGCGAACUGGUUUCCUUGAGUACGCACAAAGUGGGCGGAAUUCGUGGUGUAGCGGUGAAAUGCUUAGAUAUCACGAAGAACUCCGAUUGCGAAGGCAGCUCACUGGAGCGCAACUGACGCUGAAGCUCGAAAGUGCGGGUAUCGAACAGGAUUAGAUACCCUGGUAGUCCGCACGGUAAACGAUGGAUGCCCGCUGUUGGCCUGAACAGGUCAGCGGCCAAGCGAAAGCAUUAAGCAUCCCACCUGGGGAGUA